Molecule: long non-coding RNA, 705 nt
Organism: Chiroxiphia lanceolata (lance-tailed manakin)
Lineage: Eukaryota; Metazoa; Chordata; Aves; Passeriformes; Pipridae
Exons: 3
Source: RefSeq, a predicted model, not a curated record
CAGGAGAUUAGGAAGAGCAGCUGGCUAGCCUGUGACCUCCUGAAGCUAUGCACCUAGAAAGGCCCAGUGCUGCAAAGGUGUCCCAUAAUCAUUAAAUUAUGAAAAUGACUUGCCAAAGUCACCAGGACACUUCCCUCUGAUACAAGUUUAACCUCUGCAAGCCAUGGGCCUGAAAACCCCAGCCCAGAGACCCAGCUGUGAAAUACUCUCAGUAACACAGAUGUCUGCCAGCAAAUUAUGGCUUGAGACAGCUCGGAGGCUUGUGCAGCAGGAGACGCUGCUCUUAAGAUGCCUUGCCAGCUACAGUACAUGUUUUGCAAUGGCUGUUCAACCACAAUGCAGACGGGGUGCAGGAGACGCAGCUCCCAGCUCCCACCAAAAUGGGAUUUAUUUUAGAUAUAUUUAAUACAGUAUGAUUUCUCAUUGCAACUGCCACUGCAGAGAGAGGAGAAAGGGUAAGAGAGCUGGAGUGAGAAGGGAAAGGCUAGUCUCAAAGCAGUUACAGGCGGCCUGGACCAGUAAUGCAGUACACAUUGCUGGAUCAGUGGUUGUCCUAAUGCUGUGGGGAAACUUGGCAGCUCUGCUACCACUGUGGGCUGUGGAGACAAAGCCAGUGUGGAAAUUUCACACACAAAAAAAAGAAAGAAAAAGCAGAAAGAAAAAAUAAAGGGCCAAAUGCAUCAUGACAGACCCAAAGACAAUAAC